This 402-nucleotide ribosomal RNA is filed under the name uncultured bacterium. Its description in RNAcentral is "bacterial SSU rRNA". It matches the Rfam family "Bacterial small subunit ribosomal RNA", at positions 382 to 801 of the family's 1533-position model. The record is from RNAcentral.
UCUGAUGCAGCGACGCCGCGUGAGCGAUGAAGCCCUUCGGGGUGUAAAGCUCUUUCGACGGGAACGAUAAUGACGGUACCCGGAGAAGAAGCUGCGGCUAACUACGUGCCAGCAGCCGCGGUAAUACGUAGGCAGCAAGCGUUGUUCGGAAUUACUGGGCGUAAAGAGUGUGUAGGCGGUUCUCUAUGUUCGGUGUGAAAUCUCCCGGCUUAACUGGGAGGGUGCGCCGAAAACUGGAGGGCUUGAGUAUGGGAGAGGAAAGCGGAAUUCCUGGUGUAGCGGUGAAAUGCGUAGAUAUCAGGAGGAACACCUGCGGUGUAGACGGCUUUCUGGACCAUCACUGACGCUGAGACACGAAAGCGUGGGUAGCAAACAGGAUUAGAUACCCUGGUAGUCCACGCC